UACGUAGGUGGCGAGCGUUGUCCGGAAUUAUUGGGCGUAAAGAGCUCGUAGGCGGUUUGUUGCGUCGGCUGUGAAAUCCCGAGGCUCAACCUCGGGUCUGCAGUCGAUACGAGCAAACUAGAGUGUUGCAGGGGAGACUGGAAUUCCUGGUGUAGCGGUGAAAUGCGCAGAUAUCAGGAGGAACACCGGUGGCGAAGGCGGGUCUCUGGGCAACAACUGACGCUGAGGAGCGAAAGCGUGGGGAGCGAACAGG
This 253-nucleotide ribosomal RNA is filed under the name uncultured bacterium. Its description in RNAcentral is "partial 16S ribosomal RNA". It matches the Rfam family "Bacterial small subunit ribosomal RNA", at positions 524 to 776 of the family's 1533-position model. The record is from RNAcentral.